AGGACUUUUAGCAAGGCUCUCAUGCUUGAGGCGCUUGUUUGUCUGCAUCGUGGUAGUGUCCAUUCUACCAGCUAAUUCUCCUGCAGGUGUAGGCCAGGUCCAAAUGGUGCCCUGAAUUCUAUCCUCUUUCUAAUUAUAACUCCCAAAACACAUCUCUUUUUUUUCUUGCAGGGUUCCUAAGCAUUUAAUAGCAUCUGGACAGGCAGAUAUUCAGCCGGUGAAGAUUUCCCAUUACUCCAUGCCAGGAAGAGUCCCACUUGUUGUUUGCCCACAGUGCAUCUAUUAAAGUCUCAGAUUCUGGACAAGGGUCACUGCUGAAUUUUUUGUACAAAGUUCCUGUGUCCUUAACAGCUGCAGAAGAGGUCAACAAUCAACAAGUGCAGCAAUCCCCAGCUUGAACACACAGGAUUCUGAGCAGGAGGAUUUCAAUGUAUGUUAAGUUUCCAUAUAUAUAUACACACAGAGAGACCCAUGUAGUCAGGGAUUUGUGCUGUAGACAGGCCUGCUGGCUCCAUGUUUCAGGAAGCUCUUGACAAACUGCCCUCCAUGGGCCUCCUCCUACCCGGGUGAGUCUCAAAAGAGUUGCUCCUUUACCACCUCACGAAAGGCGGCCUGGGCCCUGGGCACUUGCCCCACAGUGACGACUCCUUGCUGCCAGCCCUAGGCUUGUGGGUUCUGGCAACAAGGCCUAGUUGAGCCAAUGGGCAAAACUCUGGCAGCCAGAACUGAGUCUCUCCCCACCUGCAGCUUAGUCAAGAAUCGGUUGUCAUUUGAAUCUGAAACUGAGGCAGUCACUCACCUUGGCCCUUUGAUUCUGGAACCAGACCUGCACCACCCGAACAGUCAGGCCAGUUUCAGCGGCCAAUGUCUCCCUUACCUGGAGAGAAGAGAAAAGCUUGGUUUAAAAGCUGGAAACAAUUCAAAAGUAGAUGCUCGGAACUUACGGCAUACGGCAACAACUUCCUUUUCAGAGCUGACAUUUCCCUUAAAACUCAAGUCACUGAGGGUAGCUUUGGUCAGCCUGCAAUUCUGUCGUAUGUUAUUGAGAAUGACUAGAAAUGCUCUCCAGAUAUGUCUCCGUAUCCACUGUGGUGCAGUCUAAUGAAAUUGUGCAGGACUACUUCUAUGCAAAUUGGAACCAUUUAGAACUUGUUGGAAGUGGUAGUCACAAGAGGCAGUUAGAGAGUGACAGUUUGAACUUGGAAGAGAAUUUCAGUGAGAGUGCAGACUUGGGUCUGGGUAGGAACAGUCUCAAAGAGGAGUUGUUAUGAGACUCAAAGGAUAAGACAGUUUAAAACAAGUUGUUCUAGUAAGAACUAAUCUGUCUACUUUCCUUGCACUUUUUCUACAAAUGGACAGAAUUUGGUUCAAAUUGAUGUCUACAAGUUAGGUCUCUUGCGCCUCAAAUGCUCAUGUGCCUGCCAUCCUGGAUCGAGGUGGAUGACAUCAUUACAAACUACACCAUUGAGAUGACCCUGUGUGUCUCCCACUACAAUGUACCAAAUUUGGUUCAAAUCAGUUAGACAGCCCUCAAGUUAUUGCACUUGCACCUCAAAAGUUCACAGGUCUGCCAUCUUGGAUUGUGGUAAAUGACAUCAUCACAAACUAUACCAUUGAGGUUUUCCCAUGUGCCCCUACAGCUGUAGAAAAUUUGGUUCAAAUCGGUUAGGCGGUUCACAAGUUAGCCCACUUGUGUCUCAAAUGUUUACGCAUCUGCCAUCUUGAACUGAAGUGGAUGGCAUCAUCACAAACUACACCAAUGAGGUGCCGCUGUGUGUCACUCACUACAACUGUAGCAAGUUUGGUUCUGAUGUGUUUUAGAAAACCAAAGUAACUCCAUUUUACUUAGAAAACCUCAGUCUGACUUAAAGUAACCCCAGCCCAGCUCAGGGCCAUCACGGCCUCUCAUGAUCAACGUCGUUAUCUCUCUCCACUAAAUUGUAUCUAAGGAAACUUGGUUCUCACAGGAUUCUCACUGUUCUUUGUUGACAAUUAAGAAAACAGGAUGUAACCAAAUAAGGAGUAAUCACCAGAUGAACAAUGAAUCAUUCACAUGCAUACUAGAUACUUAGUCCACCAUUUUAUUGCCACGUAUACUAUGUCUAGGGUGUCAGCAUCAUUCAGAUUGUCUGUAUAAAUGUAAGAUGCACCUAUAACCAAUUUGUAUUCAGUGCAGAGCCAAAGCCCACUGAUUACCAGUUGCAACUGCAGUGCAAUAAAAGCCUCAAAAGUAUUCCCACUGAGUCUGUUUGAUUGGCUAAAAGGCGGACCCAGGGACGAACCGAAUUCACAUCAAUUUGGUGCCGUGAGAAUCGGAUGUGACUCUGGGUGGGCGAUCUGACCUGUCACGGGACGAUGAAAUCCAGUGCGUCCCACAGCGUUUUGUCUGUGGAGGAUUCUCAUAGGCCCGGGACGCGCCAGUCGCUACAACGCGCCACAUCUGGGAAUCGAGGCAAGAGUGAAUGAAAGUGUGAACGGAGAGAGUGAGUGAGUGAGAGAGUGAAAUCCAGAGACGUCUUUUGGUGAAUACCCAGUCCGAGCAGGGGCGAGGGGAAAUUACAGCCCGAGCAGGGGCAGCCCGCGAAGGGGCAACCUAGAGUCCAAUAGGGGCAGCCUGCGAAGGGGCAACCUAGAGUCCAAUAGAGGCAGCCCGCGAAGGGGCAACCUAGAGUCCAAUAGAGGCAGCCCGCGAAGGGGCAAUAUGGGGGGGGGGGCUAUGGGAAGUAGAAAUAGCAAGUACACGAAAUCUGAACGGACUUCAUGUACACCUUUAGAAUGCGUGUUGAGGAAUUGGGUGAUUCUCACGGAAGGGGGAGGCGCCCUCAGAAUGAAAGUUUUAAAAAUAUAUCUAUAUGGAAGUUUGGCCAUAUCAUGACCUCAGUAAACAUCCUUUUUGCAAUUGCUUUUAUUUAUAUACAUAUGUAUGGAGAACAAGGGAACUGAAGAAAGUAUUAAAGAGGAAAAGAAUGAUUUUCUUUUGCUAAAAUCAUGUUGUCUCUGUGUUCUGUUUCCAAGCUCAAAACAGCUGCCUGCUGCCCAUGUGUUGCAAGCAGUCUAAAUUCUUGCUGCUACUAUCCCGUUGUAACCAAGUCAAAAGAUAACACUGUUCUUGCUGCAAAAAGUUUCUCCGAACAAAAGACUGCUUUUGUUCUCUUUUUCUUUUUUUUCUCUUUCCCCUCUCUUCAACUCCUUGCAGUUGGAGAAGAGGAAAGAAAAUGGAGUUUGAAGGAAUGCAUUUGGGAAUUGCAGACAAAAGACUAGAAGGAAACGUAAAAGGAUUUUGGUUGGAAGUUGUUAACAACAAGAAAAAGAAAAUUGAUUGAAAAGCACCUGUAAGUUAUAAGUUGUGAUGUGGAAAGGUAAUAUGGAAUUACAGAUUGUUUCAUAGAUGACUGUGAUAAGUUUGUCCUGUUUAAGGUACUUUCUUAACUGAGUUUAUGGCUAACAUAUUUAAAAUGUUAUAAAAUUCUUUGUGACUCAUAUGGAGUUUUCUUUGUUUAGUCCUUUGUUCUGUGAAAUACACAAGACAAGCCUGUGUGUGUGUGUGUGUGUUUCUGAGUGGGAGCCCAAAGCUCUGGUUCUGUGUAGGAAUUCAACCCUACAUCAAUGUUAUAGCUCAUCUCUGUGAAGAUGAGGUUUCUGUUGUAUUUGUGAAUGUAUUUAUUCUAGUGGCAUGUCUUUUUCUGUAAACUGUUCCAGACCAAACUUGCUCUGACACUGAAUUCCAAAAUUCACAGUUGUUAUAUUAAUUGAACAUAAAAUUGGUCAUGGCCUGAGCAACAGGGGGAACUUUCAGCGGUCAGGGGCCAACUGAGGUGCUGAAUCUUCCCACCUCUGCAAAAGUGCUGCUUAUGGCUGGCUAAAUGCAUUAGGCAUAAGAGCAAGCUCUAUUUCAUUCAUUCUUAUAUCAAGUUGAUUGUGAUAUUUCUGCCACUACUGAGUAUCAUAAGCCUUUAUAUGUUAUGUUUACUGAUUUCCUUGACAUGGCCUAUCUUACCUAUUUUCUGUAAGUAGAGAACUUUUCUCUAAACCAGAAGUUUCCCUUCCAAAUUCUUUCUCACAACUGAAAGCUGAUCCCUGAUUAACAAUGACAACUCCGCCCAUUUCCAGAUGGGAGGGGGGAAAAGGUUCUCUGUAAAGCAGUUUGUGUUGCAGCCAGUUAAUUGUGGGUGAGAAGGAAAAAUGGGUUUUAAGAUAAAUUAGUCUAAUUGUAUUACUGUAAUGUUUUUGCAAAAUCUAUGCAAUAUUUCUGCUAACUGAUUUGAUGUAAACUGAGAGCUAGUAAUCAAAUGGUCUAAGGUUUAAAUUUUAAAUUUGUCUCAUCCAGCAAGCCCUGCUUUGCCUUCACAGUAGCUGAAUCUUAAAAUUCCAGAUCCCAGACAUGAGAUUUGAUGAAAGGAAUUUUGGUUUUGCAACUCCUGCAAGUGGAAGGGAGUUCCAAAGUACCGAUUUGCAUUUUACCUAGAAGACUUCCCAGUUUAAAAGGAUUAAGCCUUGUGUGUUACUGUGAAACCCACACCCUCUUUUCACAGCUCCUGAUGAGAGACUUGACUUUAUUAUCACAGGUUUCACCCCCCUGCAAGAUUAUGGUCAAUUUUUCUGAUAACACCUUUUACUAAAGAGGCCCGUAAAAGGGGACACUUUAAUUUGCUUCAUGAGACAUUAGGCCUCGUCCAGAAGUCUCAAUCCUAUUCCAACAAGGUAUAGUAUUUUGCCUGGGGGCAUGGACUGUUUCUUUCUUAUAGUGUAUAGGUUUUUCCCCAAGAAGAUAUUGUUACCCUACAAAGAUGUCAAACCCCAAACCCUUACUCAUUGGUCAUUUGCAAAGUUAUGAGGCUAAAGAUGGAGAACUGGAACACCACAACUAUCUACACUUGACCUAGAUGAAGAUCCCAAAGCCAGAUGUUACUGAUGAAUCACCCCUUUAUGGAGAAUGAAGUCAGUUAUACUGGAUGGAGAUUGAUUGCCCUGACAAAGGCCUGUAAGUAUAAUUGUCAGCCAACGUGGUGCAGUGGUUAGAGUGCUGGACUAGGACCGGGGAAACUCGAGUCCAAACCCUCAUUCAGCCAUGACACUUGCUGGGUGACACAGAGCCUGCCACUCAAAUGAUUUGGCCUGCCUCACAGGGUUGUUGUAAGGAGGAAGAACAGGAUACAGAAGAGAAUGUGAGAUGCCACAUGGAAACUGGACUUUGUUAGCAGUGACUAUGCUUGACCUGAAAGGCUUUAAUGCCUCCUCAACACCCCAAACUCACAAAGGGGGUGAAAAAUGUGAAUGCCUUUUUCUUUUUGACUUUAUUGCUUUGCUUUUGCCCAGGAUUGCUGUUUUGUUCUCGUGAUCAGAAACCAGCCUACAACACAAGCCACCAAGCCUUAAAUGAGGACAUCAUCCCCUGUUCUGGUCUUUGGGGAAGAGGGGCCCAGGGCAAGCAGGGAAACAAAAAUAUAAAUUGGAAAAAGAGAAAAGAAAAGAAAAAUGCCAAAAGACCAAAUUGAAAAUAGCCUCAGGUUUUAUCCAUCCUUUGUAUUAUUUCCUUUUGUGCUGAUGGUUGGCACCCAGAGACUUAGUCUCAGAACGCUGUCCCUACAUGGGGGGAGGGAAUUGGCAACUCACUUGCCUGUCUUUCUCUCAAGUAAACAGGUUUGCAACCAACAGUGCCUUGAAUUGUCUUUCCAAGAAGGAUUGGUCCUCCCCAGAUCGAAGGAAUACCUGGAUCCAUCGCCAGAACGUGAUCCCAAGGGAGUCUCUAGAGGACAUCAACACUGACCCAGGAAAACUAACCAUCAGCAGCAGCAGCAGCUACCAGAGGGCAGUCCCUAUCUGCAUUUCCAAUCCAACCCAACGGUGACAGAACGUCCAUCUGCUACCCUGUCCUGUGUUCGAAGAAGAGGGCCCAAUGCAAAGUUCAUUUUCCUGUUCCUAAGUGCUAUAGGAGAGGGAUAGACAACAAAUGCCUGAAGACUGCCACUUUUCUCUGGAGUCAUACAUGCAACAGCAUCUCCCCAAGCUGUGAAGCUCUGGAACCAUCCUACCUGGGUAAGAUACCUUGCCAAGGACAAUAUUUCAAAUUCUGCCAAAGACACUAUUUCAGAUUGCCCACAAGGGGGGGAGUCAAGGCUCCCAAACACAUGAACAUUCACGCUUGUCUAUGGACACUAGCCAAACAAGCCAAAACAACACGGAUCAGAGAACAUCCAAGAUAGCCAAAAUCCUGCAACAUUGUACAAGAGCAUUUGGUUCUCAACUGAAGGACUAAAAUAUUUUUUUUUAACCAAGGACUCUUAGGUUUUUUUUAAUUUUAAUUCUAAAGCUCUCCAUGGCUUCCUUUUUGGCCAUGACAGACUCUAGAGGACACUAAAGGGGGUGGGAGUUUAUGAUUUACACCACUUUCUUAUAUUACUUUCUUGUAGUGACUAUGUGCUAUCAUUAUGUUGAAAACCCUGCUGUCUCCUGUGCUGUAAGGACAUGGACCUCACAUGCUUGCUCUCCGGUCAUUUCCCAGAGCAUUUACCUGCAAGUCUGCACCUAUCCCCAAGUUACUGGUCCCUUUGUGCUCUAAGACAUUAAGCUAGCCCAAGCUUUACCUGCUAAUUUUAUAGACACUUGUAUUUAAUCAAUGUGAUUGUACAUGACUUGUCAUUGCUAUCGCUUUCCACAAGCUGAUAAUCCAUUAAUCACCAGAAGCAUCUGGUUCCACAAUGCAAGACUGUUAUUGAUACUUUAUUUGGGAUAAAGAUGGGUUAAAACAAUGUUACUUGCUAUAAGUUAUAUGAUCUUUAUAUGUACAACUUGCUGCUAUAUGUAAAACUUUUUAUCUAUAUCAAAUCAGAAUUAUACUAAUUAUGUUUGUAGCUCUAGGAUGUUGUAUGCAAUGUAUCUAGUUUUAUUGCCAUAUGUACAGCCCAUUCAGCACCUAUAUGUCCCAAAUCCUUUAGCUACACAAAACACAGAACUAUAUUUCCAAGAUUAGGAGUUUGUGUUAAAAAGAGCUAUUAUUAAUAUUUCCAAACAGUUAGAACUUUCAUUUAACUAAUAUGGAGAGCCUAUUGAUUUAUGGGCAAAGAAGAUAAUUCUAAUUAUAGUAUGUAUUUUCCUUUUAUUGAUAAUCACAUGUUGCUGCUUAUAAUGCAUUCUAGCUUUAAUCCAAAUGUUUAUGAGAACCUUUAAACCUUGCCAUAAUGUAAGACCCAUACAUACAGCUGUACCUUUACAAGCCCAUAUAUCCUGAAGAUUCAGGAUGAUCCAGUGGGGAAUUGAUGUGUUUUAGAAAACCAAAGUAACUCCAUUUUACUUAGAAAACCUCAGUCUGACUUAAAGUAACCCCAGCCCAGCUCAGGGCCAUCACGGCCUCUCAUGAUCAACGUCGUUAUCUCUCUCCACUAAAUUGUAUCUAAGGAAACUUGGUUCUCACAGGAUUCUCACUGUUCUUUGUUGACAAUUAAGAAAACAGGAUGUAACCAAAUAAGGAGUAAUCACCAGAUGAACAAUGAAUCAUUCACAUGCGUACUAGAUACUUAGUCCACCAUUUUAUUGCCACGUAUACUAUGUCUAGGGUGUCAGCAUCAUUCAGAUUGUCUGUAUAAAUGUAAGAUGCACCUAUAACCAAUUUGUAUUCAGUGCAGAGCCAAAGCCCACUGAUUACCAGUUGCAACUGCAGUGCAAUAAAAGCCUCAAAAGUAUU
This is a long non-coding RNA of Hemicordylus capensis (graceful crag lizard), 7681 nucleotides long. RefSeq lists it as uncharacterized. The record is from RefSeq and is a predicted model, not a curated record. Lineage: Eukaryota; Metazoa; Chordata; Lepidosauria; Squamata; Cordylidae. The transcript is spliced from 2 exons.